Molecule: ribosomal RNA, 600 nt
Filed under: uncultured bacterium
Lineage: Bacteria
Description: bacterial SSU rRNA
Rfam family: Bacterial small subunit ribosomal RNA
Source: RNAcentral
GCGGACGGGUGAGUAAUGUCUCGGAAACUGCCUGAUGGAGGGGGAUAACUACUGGAAACGGUAGCUAAUACCGCAUAACGUCGCAAGACAAAGAGGGGGACCUUCGGGCCUCUUGCCAUCAGAUGUGCCCAGAUGGGAUUAGCUAGUAGGUGGGGUAACGGCUCACCUAGGCGACGAUCCCUAGCUGGUCUGAGAGGAUGAUCAGCACACUGGGACUGAGACACGGCCAGACUCCUACGGGAGGCAGCAGUGGGGAAUAUUGGACAAUGGGCGCAAGCCUGAUCCAGCCAUGCCGCGUGGGUGAAGAAGGCCUUCGGGUUGUAAAGCCCUUUUGUCCGGGAAGAAAUCGUCUGGGCUAAUACCCCGGGCGGAUGACGGUACCGGAAGAAUAAGCACCGGUAACUUCGUGCCAGCAGCCGCGGUAAUACGAAGGGUGCCAAGCGUUACUCGGAAUUAUUGGGCGUCAAAGCGGUGCGUACGCGGUCGGGUAAAAGGUUCCCCGGAAUUGGUUGGAACAAGGCCCCCUAGGGGGGUCAACACCUGGGGCAAAACCUGGGCCUUUGGGAAAAAACUUCGGGCGCGGGCUACGGGACAAUGCGC